GGUUAAGCGACUAAGCGUACACGGUGGAUGCCCUGGCAGUCAGAGGCGAUGAAGGACGUGCUAAUCUGCGAAAAGCGUCGGUAAGGUGAUAUGAACCGUUAUAGCCGGCGAUGUCCGAAUGGGGAAACCCAGUGCAAUUCGUUGCACUAUCGUUAACUGAAUACAUAGGUUAACGAGGCGAACCGGGGGAACUGAAACAUCUAAGUACCCCGAGGAAAAGAAAUCAACCGAGAUUCCCCCAGUAGCGGCGAGCGAACGGGGAGCAGCCCAGAGUCUGAAUCAGCUUGUGUGUUAGUGGAACGGUCUGGAAAGUCCGACGGUACAGGGUGAUAGUCCCGUACACCAAAAUGCACAGGCUGUGAACUCGAAGAGUAGGGCGGGACACGUGGUAUCCUGUCUGAAUAUGGGGGGACCAUCCUCCAAGGCUAAAUACUCCUGACUGACCGAUAGUGAACCAGUACCGUGAGGGAAAGGCGAAAAGAACCCCGGCGAGGGGAGUGAAAAAGAACCUGAAACCGUGUACGUACAAGCAGUGGGAGCACCUUCGGGUGUGACUGCGUACCUUUUGUAUAAUGGGUCAGCGACUUAUAUUCUGUAGCAAGGUUAACCGUAUAGGGGAGCCGCAGGGAAACCGAGUCUUAACUGGGCGUUAAGUUGCAGGGUAUAGACCCGAAACCCGGUGAUCUAGCCAUGGGCAGGUUGAAGGUUGGGUAACACUAACUGGAGGACCGAACCGACUAAUGUUGAAAAAUUAGCGGAUGACUUGUGGCUGGGGGUGAAAGGCCAAUCAAACCGGGAGAUAGCUGGUUCUCCCCGAAAGCUAUUUAGGUAGCGCCUCGUGAACUCAUCUUCGGGGGUAGAGCACUGUUUCGGCUAGGGGGUCAUCCCGACUUACCAACCCGAUGCAAACUACGAAUACCGAAGAAUGUUAUCACGGGAGACACACGGCGGGUGCUAACGUCCGUCGUGAAGAGGGAAACAACCCAGACCGCCAGCUAAGGUCCCAAAGUCAUGGUUAAGUGGGAAACGAUGUGGGAAGGCACAGACAGCCAGGAUGUUGGCUUAGAAGCAGCCAUCAUUUAAAGAAAGCGUAAUAGCUCACUGGUCGAGUCGGCCUGCGCGGAAGAUGUAACGGGGCUAAACCAUGCACCGAAGCUGCGGCAGCGACACUAUGUGUUGUUGGGUAGGGGAGCGUUCUGUAAGCCUGCGAAGGUGACCUGUGAGGGUUGCUGGAGGUAUCAGAAGUGCGAAUGCUGACAUAAGUAACGAUAAAGCGGGUGAAAAGCCCGCUCGCCGGAAGACCAAGGGUUCCUGUCCAACGUUAAUCGGGGCAGGGUGAGUCGACCCCUAAGGCGAGGCCGAAAGGCGUAGUCGAUGGGAAACAGGUUAAUAUUCCUGUACUUGGUGUUACUGCGAAGGGGGGACGGAGAAGGCUAUGUUAGCCGGGCGACGGUUGUCCCGGUUUAAGCAUGUAGGCUGGUUAUCCAGGCAAAUCCGGAUAAUCAAGGCUGAGGUGUGAUGACGAGGCACUACGGUGCUGAAGUAACAAAUGCCCUGCUUCCAGGAAAAGCCUCUAAGCAUCAGGUAACAUCAAAUCGUACCCCAAACCGACACAGGUGGUCAGGUAGAGAAUACCAAGGCGCUUGAGAGAACUCGGGUGAAGGAACUAGGCAAAAUGGUGCCGUAACUUCGGGAGAAGGCACGCUGGUGUGUAGGUGAAGUCCCUGCGGAUGGAGCUGAGACCAGUCGAAGAUACCAGCUGGCUGCAACUGUUUAUUAAAAACACAGCACUGUGCAAACACGAAAGUGGACGUAUACGGUGUGACGCCUGCCCGGUGCCGGAAGGUUAAUUGAUGGGGUUAUCCGUAAGGAGAAGCUCUUGAUCGAAGCCCCGGUAAACGGCGGCCGUAACUAUAACGGUCCUAAGGUAGCGAAAUUCCUUGUCGGGUAAGUUCCGACCUGCACGAAUGGCGUAAUGAUGGCCAGGCUGUCUCCACCCGAGACUCAGUGAAAUUGAACUCGCUGUGAAGAUGCAGUGUACCCGCGGCAAGACGGAAAGACCCCGUGAACCUUUACUAUAGCUUGACACUGAACAUUGAGCCUUGAUGUGUAGGAUAGGUGGGAGGCUUUGAAGCGUGGACGCCAGUCUGCGUGGAGCCAACCUUGAAAUACCACCCUUUAAUGUUUGAUGUUCUAACGUUGGCCCCUUACCGGGGUUGCGGACAGUGUCUGGUGGGUAGUUUGACUGGGGCGGUCUCCUCCCAAAGCGUAACGGAGGAGCACGAAGGUUAGCUAAUCCUGGUCGGACAUCAGGAGGUUAGUGCAAUGGCAUAAGCUAGCUUGACUGCGAGCGUGACGGCGCGAGCAGGUGCGAAAGCAGGUCAUAGUGAUCCGGUGGUUCUGAAUGGAAGGGCCAUCGCUCAACGGAUAAAAGGUACUCCGGGGAUAACAGGCUGAUACCGCCCAAGAGUUCAUAUCGACGGCGGUGUUUGGCACCUCGAUGUCGGCUCAUCACAUCCUGGGGCUGAAGUAGGUCCCAAGGGUAUGGCUGUUCGCCAUUUAAAGUGGUACGCGAGCUGGGUUUAGAACGUCGUGAGACAGUUCGGUCCCUAUCUGCCGUGGGCGCUGGAGAAUUGAGGGGGGCUGCUCCUAGUACGAGAGGACCGGAGUGGACGCAUCACUGGUGUUCGGGUUGUCAUGCCAAUGGCACUGCCCGGUAGCUAAAUGCGGAAGAGAUAAGUGCUGAAAGCAUCUAAGCACGAAACUUGCCCCGAGAUGAGUUCUCCCUGAGACUUUAAGUCUCCUGAAGGAACGUUAAAGACGAUGACGUUGAUAGGCCGGGUGUGUAAGCGCAGCGAUGCGUUGAGCUAACCGGUACUAAUGAACCGUGAGGCUUAACCUU
Molecule: ribosomal RNA, 2902 nt
Filed under: Klebsiella pneumoniae
Lineage: Bacteria; Pseudomonadati; Pseudomonadota; Gammaproteobacteria; Enterobacterales; Enterobacteriaceae
Also listed under: 1 other name
Description: 23S ribosomal RNA
Rfam family: Bacterial large subunit ribosomal RNA
Source: RNAcentral